Molecule: unclassified non-coding RNA, 373 nt
Filed under: uncultured Sphingobacteriales bacterium
Lineage: Bacteria; Pseudomonadati; Bacteroidota; Sphingobacteriia; Sphingobacteriales
Description: contains 16S-23S intergenic spacer region
Source: RNAcentral
UCACCGCUUACGCGGGCAGUCUCAUUAGAGUCCCCAGCAUAACCUGAUGGCAACUAAUGAUAGGGGUUGCGCUCGUUGCGGGACUUAACCCAACACCUCACGGCACGAGCUGACGACGGCCAUGCAGCACCUAGUUUCGUGUCAUUGCUGACUGACCUGUUUCUAAAUCAUUCACUAACUUUCAAGCCCUGGUAAGGUUCCGCGCGUAUCAUCGAAUUAAACCACAUGCUCCUCCGCUUGUACGGGCCCCCGUCAAUUCCUUUGAGUUUCAGCCUUGCGGCCGUACUCCCCAGGUGGAUCACUUAAUGCUUUCGCUCGGACGCGUACGGUGUAUUGCACACAUCGAGUGCCCAUCGUUUACAGCGUGGACUAC